RNAcentral lists this ribosomal RNA (253 nucleotides) under uncultured bacterium. Its description in RNAcentral is "partial 16S ribosomal RNA". It matches the Rfam family "Bacterial small subunit ribosomal RNA", at positions 524 to 776 of the family's 1533-position model. The record is from RNAcentral.
UACGGAGGGGGCUAGCGUUGUUCGGAAUUACUGGGCGUAAAGGGCUCGUAGGCGGCCAACUAAGUCAGACGUGAAAUCCCUCAGCUUAACUGGGGAACUGCGUCUGAUACUGGAUGGCUUGGAUUCGGGAGAGGAAUGCGGAAUUCCAGGUGUAGCGGUGAAAUGCGUAGAUAUCUGGAGGAACACCGGUGGCGAAGGCGGCAUUCUGGACCGAUAUUGACGCUGAGGAGCGAAAGCCAGGGGAGCAAACGGG